This 415-nucleotide ribosomal RNA is filed under the name Streptomyces sp. MBT93. RNAcentral describes it as "bacterial SSU rRNA". It matches the Rfam family "Bacterial small subunit ribosomal RNA", at positions 99 to 527 of the family's 1533-position model. The record is from RNAcentral. Lineage: Bacteria; Bacillati; Actinomycetota; Actinomycetes; Kitasatosporales; Streptomycetaceae.
GCGACGGGUGAGUACACGUGGGCAAUCUGCCCUUCACUCUGGGACAAGCCCUGGAAACGGGGUCUAAUACCGGAUACUGACCCUCGCAGGCAUCUGCGAGGUUCGAAAGCUCCGGCGGUGAAGGAUGAGCCCGCGGCCUAUCAGCUUGUUGGUGAGGUAAUGGCUCACCAAGGCGACGACGGGUAGCCGGCCUGAGAGGGCGACCGGCCACACUGGGACUGAGACACGGCCCAGACUCCUACGGGAGGCAGCAGUGGGGAAUAUUGCACAAUGGGCGAAAGCCUGAUGCAGCGACGCCGCGUGAGGGAUGACGGCCUUCGGGUUGUAAACCUCUUUCAGCAGGGAAGAAGCGAAAGUGACGGUACCUGCAGAAGAAGCGCCGGCUAACUACGUGCCAGCAGCCGGGGGUAAUACG